RNAcentral lists this long non-coding RNA (656 nucleotides) under Chrysemys picta bellii (western painted turtle). RNAcentral's name for it is "lncRNA (ENSCPBG00000025504.1)". The record is from RNAcentral. Lineage: Eukaryota; Metazoa; Chordata; Testudines; Emydidae.
GGGGGAAUUCAGCAAUUCUUUGGUUGCUAAGUGUGAGUGACAACUGUUAAGCAUGGCCCAAGGAGCCACUGAUCAAAGUAAUGUGGAAACUGCUGACCCAGAGGAGAGUUCUCCAAAUAUGAUUGUCUACAGAAAGAUGUCCACCAUAGGUCCAGGUAUUAGGUCCAGGCAUUUCAUGUGGGUCCCAUGGCGAUUCUUUGGAUACCAGUUGAUGUUGCAAAUUAAUUGCUUACUGUUUUGCUGAGAAACUGACAAACCCCAUUAGUUAGGAGGAAUGUUUUGCCUGCCCACACGUUUGAAAGUAAAUUCAUGCGUUCCUCAGUGGUACUUGGUGAGUUCUAUAAUCAUGCUGAUGUUUUUUUGUGUAUACAGCUACUAAUCAGCUGCCAGAGAGGGAAUGAAGCUUUCCUUCUUGAUGGCACAAAUAGUUGUUUGAUAUUAUGGUGGCCACUUUCUUCAAGAGUAGAACAAUAGCUGCAUUUUCAUCUGGGGUCCAGUGGUCUCUAAUCCCAGCUGUAGCACCAGUACACAUUUUACAUAGCUCCGUACAAUUGUCUUUGAUCAAUGAAUUCUAGGAUUCAAAUCAGGCUGGGGCGUGGCGCAUCUUCCUCUUCCUACAAAAUAAAUUCUUCCUCAGGAAGGGGGAGAGUGGGAGC